CCUGGCCUUGACAUACUAAGAACUUUCCAGAGAUGGAUUGGUGCCUUCGGGAACUUAGAUACAGGUGCUGCAUGGCUGUCGUCAGCUCGUGUCGUGAGAUGUUGGGUUAAGUCCCGCAACGAGCGCAACCCUUUUCCUUAUUUGUCAGCGGGUUAAGCCGGGAACUUUAAGGAUACUGCCAGUGACAAACUGGAGGAAGGCGGGGACGACGUCAAGUCAUCAUGGCCCUUACGGCCAGGGCUACACACGUGCUACAAUGGUCGGUACAAAGGGUUGCUACCUCGCGAGAGGAUGCUAAUCUCAAAAAGCCGAUCGUAGUCCGGAUCGCAGUCUGCAACUCGACUGCGUGAAGUCGGAAUCGCUAGUAAUCGCGGAUCAGAAUGCCGUGGUGAAUACGUUCCCGGGCCUUGUACACACCGCCCGUCACACCAUGGGAGUUUGUUGCACCAGAAGUAGGUAGUCUAACCGCAAGGAGGACGCUUACCACGGUGUGGCCGAUGACUGGGGUGAAGUCGUAACAAGGUAGGCGUAGAUGA
RNAcentral lists this ribosomal RNA (536 nucleotides) under uncultured bacterium. RNAcentral's name for it is "bacterial SSU rRNA". It matches the Rfam family "Bacterial small subunit ribosomal RNA", at positions 974 to 1509 of the family's 1533-position model. The record is from RNAcentral.